RNAcentral lists this ribosomal RNA (270 nucleotides) under uncultured bacterium. Its description in RNAcentral is "partial 16S ribosomal RNA". It matches the Rfam family "Bacterial small subunit ribosomal RNA", at positions 333 to 620 of the family's 1533-position model. The record is from RNAcentral.
UGUUCCCUACGGGACGCAGCAGUGGGGAAUAUUGCACAAUGGGGGAAACCCUGAUGCAGCAACGCCGCGUGAGUGAUGACGGCCUUCGGGUUGUAAAGCUCUGUCUUCAGGGACGAUAAUGACGGUACCUGAGGAGGAAGCCACGGCUAACUACGUGCCAGCAGCCGCGGUAAUACGUAGGUGGCGAGCGUUGUCCGGAGUUACUGGGCGUAAUGGGAGCGUAGGCGGUUUUUUAAGUGAGAUAUGAAAUACUCGGGCUCAACUUGAGUG